This is an RNA transcript of Fragaria vesca subsp. vesca, 2006 nucleotides long. It is a transcript of the gene named DNA ligase 1-like, with no coding region annotated. Lineage: Eukaryota; Viridiplantae; Streptophyta; Magnoliopsida; Rosales; Rosaceae. The transcript is spliced from 17 exons. The record is from RefSeq and is a predicted model, not a curated record.
AUGUCCGGCGCACGCGCCGCCGCCGCCAAGAACAAGCCCUCCACUUCCCCCAAGAAACGCAAAACCCCGCCGGUCCCUAAAGAAAACCCCAAAUACGACGAGGCUUCUCCUACUCCGAGCCCCGCCGCGGAAUCCGAACCGGAAACGGUGAAAGAAGACGCCGGCAAGGUGGAACCGGCGCCGAAGAAGCCGCGCGCGGCGAGCGGAGCGGAGGAGCGGACGGCUCAAUUGAAGAGUAGGAUUGAGCUGCUGAAGAAGGAGGACUUGGAGUUUGACCCGAGCGCGAUGGCGAAUUGGGGCAAAGGCGAGAGGGUUCCGUUUAUGUUUGUUGCUUUGGCUUUUGAUUUGAUUGAAAAGGAGAGUGGGAGGAUUGUGAUUACGGAUAUUGUGUGUAAUAUGUUGAGGACUGCAGAAGGAGACUUGGGUAUUGUUGCGCAGAGAGGCCGUUCAUUACAGAAAAUGAUGCGCCAGCCUGAGCCAUUGACUGUCACUAAGGUUUUCAACACAUUUUGUACCCUUGCUAAGGAAUAUGGGAAGGAUAGCCAGGAGAAGAAAAAGAACCAUAUGAUAGCACUUCUUGUGGCUGCCACUGGCUGUGAACCUAAGUAUUUGACCCGUUUGCUUCAGUCGAAGAUGCGAAUUGGAUUGGCGGAGCAAACUCUUUUGGCCGCACUGGGACAAGCUGCAGUCUAUACUGAAGAACAUUCUACACCAGCUCCUGAAAUUCAAUCUCAUUUAGAAGAGGCUGCAAGGAUUGUUAAAGGAAUGUACUCUCUUCUUCCUGUCUACGAUAAAAUCAUCCCUGCCCUUCUGAGUGGUGGUGUUUGGAAUCUUCCAAAAACAUGUUGCUUUACUUUGGGUAUCCCAGUUGGACCUAUGCUUGCAAAGCCAUGUAAGAGGGUAUCUGAGAUUGUACAAAAGUUCCAGGAUACAGAAUACACAUGUAAAUACAAGUAUGAUGGGGAACGUGCACAGAUACAUUACAUGGAUGAUGGUUCUGUUGAGAUAUACAGUCGAAAUGCUGAACGGAACACAGGAAAGUUCCCUGAUGUUGCGGUUGCAGUGUCAAGGUUAAAGAAGUCAUCUGCAAAAUCAUUUGUUUUAGAUUGUGAAAUCGUUGCCUAUGACCGUGAAAAUAACAAAAUUCUGACCUUCCAGGUACUUAACACUCGAGCCCGUAAAAAUGUGAGCGUCAGCGAUAUUAAGAUUGGGGUCUGCAUAUUUGCUUUUGAUAUAUUGUUUCAUACUGGUCGACCACUUACUCAAGAGCAGCUCAAAGUUCGUAGAGAGUAUCUUUAUGACUCUUUCAAGGAAGAAGCUGGAGUUUUUCAGUUUGCCACAGCAAUAACCUCAAAGGAUAUUGAUGAAAUACAAAAGUUUUUUGAUGCUGCCGUUAAUUCGAGUACUGAAGGUUUGAUAAUCAAAACAUUAAACAAAGAUGCUACAUACGAGCCUUCAAAGCGGUCGCUGAACUGGCUGAAAUUGAAGAAAGAUUACAUGGAUAGUUUUGGGGACUCACUGGACUUGGUACCUAUUGCUGCUUUCCAUGGCCGGGGCAAACGUACAGGUGUAUAUGGCGCUUUUCUCCUUGCUUGCUACGAUAGCGGUAAUGAAGAGUUCCAAAGCAUAUGUAAAAUAAGCACUGGAUUUACUGAAGCUGUGCUUGAAGAACGUUCUGUCCGCCUGCGUGAAACAGUGAUACCCAAACCUAAGACAUACUAUAGCUAUGCAGACACAAGUAAUGCAGAUACUCCAGAUGUAUGGUUUGAACCCAGUCAGGUUUGGGAGGUGAAAGCCGCUGAAUUGACUAUUAGUCCCGUGUAUCAUGCUGCAGUAGGCGUAGUGGAUGCUAAUAAGGGUAUUUCUCUUCGAUUUCCACACCUUGUUCGUGUUAGGGAGGACAAAAAACCAGAGGAAGCUUAUCAUCUGAACAGGUUACUGAGAUGUAUAAUGCUCAAUCUAACAAAAGUUCAAAGCACCAAGAUGACAAGAAAGAUGAAGACUAG